GACGAACGCUGGCGGCGUGCUAAACACAUGCCAGUCGAACGGAAAGGCCCUGCUUUUGUGGGGUGCUCGAGUGGCGAACGGGUGAGUAACACGUGAGUAACCUGCCCUUGACUUUGGGAUAACUUCAGGAAACUGGGGCUAAUACCGGAUAGGAGCUCCUGCUGCAUGGUGGGGGUUGGAAAGUUUCGGCGGUUGGGGAUGGACUCGCGGCUUAUCAGCUUGUUGGUGGGUAGUGGCUUACCAAGGCUUUGACGGGUAGCCGGCCUGAGAGGGUGACCGGCCACAUUGGGACUGAGAUACGGCCCAGACUCCUACGGGAGGCAGCAGUGGGGAAUAUUGCACAAUGGGCGGAAGCCUGAUGCAGCAACGCCGCGUGCGGGAUGACGGCCUUCGGGUUGUAAACCGCUUUCGCCUGUGACGAAGCGUGAGUGACGGUAAUGGGUAAAGAAGCACCGGCUAACUACGUG
Molecule: ribosomal RNA, 467 nt
Filed under: uncultured bacterium
Lineage: Bacteria
Description: partial 16S ribosomal RNA
Rfam family: Bacterial small subunit ribosomal RNA
Source: RNAcentral